GCCACGGUGGCGGAAUGGCUACGCAGCUGACUGCAGAUCAGCAUAUCCCGGUUCGAUUCCGGGCCAUGGCU
This is a transfer RNA of 71 nucleotides. It matches the Rfam family "tRNA". From Rfam's summary of the family: Transfer RNA (tRNA) molecules are approximately 80 nucleotides in length. The record is from Rfam.